Molecule: RNA transcript, 3523 nt
Organism: Quercus lobata
Lineage: Eukaryota; Viridiplantae; Streptophyta; Magnoliopsida; Fagales; Fagaceae
Exons: 19
Source: RefSeq, a predicted model, not a curated record
AAGAAUUUUUAUCUGUUGUGUGAUCGUUCGCUUCUCCACGUCUUCGAAAACCAAAACCAAAACAAAAAAGAAAAUGCCCUUUUAGCCACGUCACCUUCCCAUUCUCUUUCUCUUCAGCUCUCCAUUUUUCAUAUCUAUCGCUUUACCCUCUCAAACUCAAUACAUUUUUCCUCAUUGAGACCAAAAUUUUCUCUCUCACAUGUAUAUGGCAUUUAAAUUGCAACAUAAAAGCUUAAUUUAUUCAAGCUCUUCAGAUCCGUGGCUAUUGCGUGAGCCAGUUAGAACCCGUUUUUCCUGCAAGCAAGUGGCUAGCUUGGAUCACCUCCUAAUAAAUUGGGGUAAUUCAAGUAAGAGAUGCUUUAUAAGGCUUGCUUUGUUAGAGAGCAAUAAUGUUGGCCUUAGCCACCGGUUGUUGGGAUAUAGGAAAACCUAUUUAACCUUUCAUAAAUCAAGAAGGAUGGCAAAACACCGUCCUCUUGCAUCCGCUGAUGAUGGUGUAACAGUCAAUGGGAGUCCCCCAGCAAGUACCAGUGGUGAUGUGGAGGGAAUGAGGGUCAAACUAAAUCAGUCACUACAAGCCGAAGAUAAUAGUGAUGGACUUGUCCAGACUUUACAUGAGGCUGCCAGGAUUUUUGAGUUAGCAAUCAAAGAACAAGGCUCAUUGUCAAAAAUAUCUUGGUUUUCAGCUGCCUGGCUUGGUGUAGACAGAAAUGCAUGGGUGAAAUCAGUGUCUUAUCAGGCUUCUGUGUAUUCCUUAUUGCAAGCUGCAAGUGAGAUUUCAUCCCGAGGUGAUCGUAGAGACAGGGAUAUAAAUCUUAUUGUUCAAAGGAGUUUAUUACGGAAAUCUGCUCCACUGGAGAGCUUAAUCCGGGAUAAAUUAUCAGCCAAGCAACCUGAAGCUCCUGAAUGGUUUUUUUCUGAGCAAGUUCCAGUGGUGGUGACGUCCUUUGUCGAUUAUUUUGAAGGGGAUGCACGCUUUACUGCUGCCACUGCUGUUUGUGGAAAAGGCACAUCAUUGGGAUCUGGGAAUGCAAGUGAUGUAUCAGUCCUCAUGCUUGCACUUACUUGCAUUGCUGCAAUUACAAAACUUGGUCCAGCAAAAGUUUCUUGUCCGCAAUUCUUUUCCAUGACUCCAGAAAUAACUGGUAGAUUGAUGGACAUACUGGUUGAUUUUAUUCCUAUACGCAAGGCUUAUCAUUCUAUGAAAGAUAUUGGUCUACACACAGAAUUUCUUGUUCAUUUCGGUCCUCGAGCUGCGGCAUGUAGAGUAAAUAACGAUUGGGGUUCAGAAGAGGUCUUUUUCUGGGUAAAUCUUGUACAGAAGCAGCUGCAACGAGCUAUAGAUAGGGAGAAAAUAUGGUCAAGACUGACAACAUCUGAAAGUAUUGAGGUUUUGGAGAAGGAUUUGGCGAUAUUGGGAUUCUUUAUUGCUUUAGGCAGAAGUACAAAGUCCUUUCUAUCUGCUAAUGGUUUUGAUGUUAUAGAUGAUCCUAUUGAAGGCUUUGUUAGUUACCUUAUUGGGGGCAGUGUUUUAUACUAUCCUCAACUUUCAUCAAUAAGUUCUUAUCAAUUGUAUGUUGAGGUAGUCUGUGAAGAGUUGGAUUGGCUUCCUUUUUAUCCAGGCAACUUUGGCACCCAAAAACAGUUGCACAGCCAUAAAAGUAAAAGAGAUGGCCCUCCCAAUGCUGAAGCUAUCCCUCAAGUAAUAGAUGUUUGCUCUCAUUGGAUGCAGAGCUUUAUCAAAUACAGCGAAUGGCUGGAGAACCCUUCUAAUGUUAAGGCAGCAAAAUUUCUGUCUAGAGGGCACAACAAGUUAAUGGAGUGCAAGGACGAAUUGCGGAUAUCGAAGAAUGAUAUGGUGGAAAGUAAAAGUAAGAAUUCUGUUGAGAGGAUUGGAUCUAAGACUAAUUUUCUGCCUGAGAAAUCAUUGGAUUCUUUUGACAAGGCAUUGGAGAGUGUAGAAGAAGCUCUUGUAAGACUAGAAAAAUUGCUUCAAGAGUUGCAUGUAUCAAGUUCUUCUUCUGGAAAAGAGCAUCUAAAAGCUGCUUGUUCUGACCUUGAGAAAAUGAGGAAGCUGAAAAAAGAGGCUGAAUUUUUGGAGGCAUCUUUUAGAGCAAAAGCAGCCUCCCUGCGGCAGGGAGAUGGUGACAGUCAUUCCCAGUCAAGUAUCAGCGGGCAGCAACAGUACUUGAAAGGGAAAAACAGGAAGAAUGCUAAUAUAGUGCCGGAUAGGAGCAACAGAAUUCUCAACAAACCUAUGUGGAGCUUCUUUAUGCCCCUUCCAGAUAAAAAGCCUGGCCCAGAGUCAAUUAUGGAUGGAUCCGAAAAUGAAUGUUUGGAGCAGACUACUUCAAAUAUAGAUAAUGCAGACUCAGAAUCAAAUGAAAUUCACCGUUUUGAACUUCUGAGGAAUGAGCUAAAAGAACUUGAAAAACGGGUCCAAAGAAGUGCUAAUCAAUCAGAAAAUGAGGAGGAGUUUAAUGUUACAGAUGAUGAUGAUAAUAAUCAGUGUGAUGUUAGAGGUUCUCAAUUGGUCCAGGUUCAGAAGAAAGAAAGUAUCAUCGAAAAAUCAUUAGUCAAGCUAAAAGAAACUAGCACGGAUGUCUUGCAAGGAACCCAGCUUUUAGCUAUUGAUGUUGCUGCUUCUAUGGGAUUGCUCAGAAGGGCCCUGGUAGGAGAUGAAUUGACAGAAAAAGAAAAGAAAGUUUUCAAAAGAACGAUGACUGACUUAGCAUCAGUUGUUCCAAUUGGCGUUUUGAUGCUUCUUCCGGUUACUGCAGUUGGGCAUGCAGCAAUGUUGGCUGCUAUUCAGAGAUAUGCACCAGCUCUGAUACCAUCCUCAUAUGGACCUGAAAGAUUGGAUCUCUUGAGGCAACUUGAGAAAGUUAAGGAGAUGGAAACCAGUGAAGAUAAUUCGAAUGAAAAUGGGGAGGAACUAGCCUGACUAGAAGCCAAUGCAAAUUUUGUACAGCUGUCAAAAUUGAAACACUAUUUUUAAUCAUGAGGUAAGCACCAAUGACUGCAGUCUUGUGGAGAGGGAGUUGGAGUGCCUGGCUCGCGAUACUUUGAAGGGUGACCAUCAAACCUAAAUCCUGUUAGAUAUGUGAUGUUUAAGAACUGGAUACUCCUGUUUCCAUAAUCCAUCUGUUUGACUACAUUGGAAAUGAAUUCAUUAUUUAAUGGCUCCGCCUCCAGAUUUGUGAGGUUUGUUUCUGGUUCUGUGUCUGUAUGACACAGGCCCCCGGUAUCCCAGGUGCCAUUCCUGCAAUUUAUGUAUGAAAAGCUUGGGUCAGAGCUUAUAAUUAAGGCCUUCCGGCUAUUAUUGUCCUCCCCUCAUUUCUUUUUGAAUUGCAGAAAAUGAGUGCAUAGGAUUCAAGCAUGUAGAUGAGAGAAAAAACUUAAUAGUAUCAGGUGCUGGCCUUCAGUUCACUAAUCUAAUUCAAUUCAAGUUCUGUAAUGAUGAUAUAGUAUCAAGGUUCUAUUGUAUGUUUUAAUUCGAAUGAAAUAGAUAUUUACUGAGACU